This 69-nucleotide transfer RNA is filed under the name Rattus norvegicus (Norway rat). It matches the Rfam family "tRNA". Rfam says of the family: Transfer RNA (tRNA) molecules are approximately 80 nucleotides in length. Their secondary structure includes four short double-helical elements and three loops (D, anti-codon, and T loops). Lineage: Eukaryota; Metazoa; Chordata; Mammalia; Rodentia; Muridae. The record is from Rfam by way of RNAcentral.
GGGGAUUUAGCUCAGAGGUAGAGUGCUUGCCUAGCAAGCGCAAGGCCCUGGGUUCGAUCCCCAGCUCUG